Molecule: ribosomal RNA, 406 nt
Filed under: uncultured bacterium
Lineage: Bacteria
Description: partial 16S ribosomal RNA
Rfam family: Bacterial small subunit ribosomal RNA
Source: RNAcentral
AUUGAACGCUGGCGGCAGGCCUAACACAUGCAAGUCGAACGAGUGGCGGAAGGGUGAGUAAUGUCUGGGAAACGGCCUGAUGGAGGGGGAUAACUACGGGAAACGGUAGCUAAUACCGCAUACCAGAAGAUGUGCCAAGAUGGGAUUAGCUAGUUGGUGGGGUAACGGCUCACCAAGGCGACGAUCCCUAGCUGGUCUGAGAGGAUGACCAGCCACCCUGUAACUGAGACACGGUCCAGACUCCUACGGGAGGCAGCAGUGGGGAAUAUUGCACAAUGGGCGCAAGCCUGAUGCAGCCAUGCCGCGGUUAUGAAGAAGGCCGUCGGGUUGUAAAGUACUUUCAGCGGGGAGGCGUUACCCGCAGAAGAAGCACCGGCUAACUCCGUGCCAGCAGCCGCGGUAAUAC